UAUGUAAUCCAACAUUUCGUCGCUUUUUUUCUUUUAUUUCUUGUUUCUUUUUCAAAUUUUAAAGGGAAUGUUCUCAUUGUACGUUUUGUGAAGUUUAGUAUUCAAUAAUAUUAAGACUCCUAAUUAUCGAAGAAAACCGUUCAUUGUGUUGGCACUGAAGUUUGUUUCUUUCGUAGAGCUACAUAUUUGAAAUUACCUACGGUAACGAUUUCUAUUUAUACAGUUUCUGAAAUUCCGCUAACAAUUGAAUCCAAUGACAGAGAAAUUAAAAACGAAAAUUUAAAUUCUGACAAAGAAUACUUUUCGAAUAUGGCGUCAAAACUUCUAAGACAUCUGUGGUGAAUACAGCAGAGGAAAUGGUGAAUGGAAAACAUUAUAUCAUAAUGCAGAAUUAUUAUUGGGACUGUGGCGUUUCUUUGUACAGAAACUAUGAUAAUCGUAACUAGAAAAUCGUCAUCAAGUAGAGUGGUAAAUAAUUCUCCGACCGCAACAUUACAAAUGUUGUGUCACAGACGAAUAAAAAUUCUAUGGAAGGAUAUGACACACAUGCAUCAACCUAACUACAAAAGUUAGAAAGAACGAGAGAGCUUAUAUGUUCUCAGCCACAACACAGUGAAUUUAUACCCAGUGCAGGAUUGUAUACGGUUUUGCUAUCAGAGCAAGUAAUAACCUAUUUAAUAUUACUAACCAAUGCAUUCGAAAAUAGAAGUCAUUUUCUGAACACUUUCCGCGCCAAAUGUUCUGCAGGAUAAAACUUACUGUGUCUAUCAAUUUAAAUCGGAACGAAAACCAUUGAAGGCAAAUCGUUGAAAGCCUCAUUAAUAUCAGUAAUGCAUAGAGAGGAAGGUGAUGUUCUGUAAUAUAUAAUCAUUGUAUAGCUUUGUCUUGGAAACCUAAACGAAAGUCUUAGAUUUUCCAUUUCUGUUUGGAGAAGUUACAAUUUAGCCAUAAACAACACUACCGGAUUAAGUAUCCUAUAGUAUCCUACCACAAAAUAAAACAAGAUUUUGACAGUGAAA
Molecule: long non-coding RNA, 1019 nt
Organism: Octopus bimaculoides (California two-spot octopus)
Lineage: Eukaryota; Metazoa; Mollusca; Cephalopoda; Octopoda; Octopodidae
Source: RefSeq, a predicted model, not a curated record